AGCGAACGCUGGCGGCAUGCUUAACACAUGCAAGUCGCACGGUCAGCAAUGGCAGUGGCGGACGGGUGAGUAACACGUAGGAAUCUAUCCUUGGGUGGGGGGACGAACCACGGGGAAACUGUGGCUAAUACCGCAUGAUGACUGAGGUCUAAAGGCGCAAGUCGCCUGAGGAGGAGCCUGCGUCUGAUUUAGCUUGUUGGUGGGGUAAAGGCCUACCAAGGCGACGAUCAGUAGCUGGUCUGAGAGGAUGAUCAGCCACAUUGGGACUGAGACACGGCCCAAACUCCUACGGGAGGCAGCAGUGGGGAAUAUUGGACAAUGGGCGAAAGCCUGAUCCAGCAAUGCCGCGUGGGUGAGGACGGCCUUCGGGUUGUAAAGCUCUGUCCUCGGGGACGAAAAAAUGACGGUACCCGAGGAGGAAGCCCCGGCUAACUACGUG
Molecule: ribosomal RNA, 439 nt
Filed under: uncultured bacterium
Lineage: Bacteria
Description: bacterial SSU rRNA
Rfam family: Bacterial small subunit ribosomal RNA
Source: RNAcentral